This 95-nucleotide transfer RNA is filed under the name Promicromonospora citrea. RNAcentral's name for it is "tRNA-Arg". Lineage: Bacteria; Bacillati; Actinomycetota; Actinomycetes; Micrococcales; Promicromonosporaceae. The record is from RNAcentral.
GGCGCCGGAGCGGCCGGCUGACAUGCGCACGGGGCUCCGACUCCUGGGACGCGCCGCCGCGGUGGUCGUCGUCGUCCUGGGCGGCGCGGCGCUCC